GCAGGUAAUGGAGAGUUCCACAAGGAACUCCUCAACACUGGAACUGCAGGGUAUAUAAACAUAGAUCUUUAACACAUAUAGAACACAGUUACCAAUACUUUAAAUGUAUGGAUAAACACCAAAAGUAUUUUUUUUUACUCCAUAGAUUUUGACAUUAAAGGAAGUGGAAUAAUACAAGUGGAAUAAUUCCAAUGAUUUAAAGCAGUAGUUCCCAAAGUGGUCCAGGUGGACCCCCAGGGGUCCACGGGAGACUCGACGGGGGUCUACGUUGGGUCUAACAAAAAAUGGGGGUCUACACUUUGUAAGCGGGGGUGAAUGAAAAUUAAUUUGGUUUCGAUAGUGAAGAACUAAGAUAUUGGCUUGACUUCUAUCACUAUAGGCAGAUAAUAUUUUGAGAAGCUCAGCGACUGUUACUUGUAAAACCCUGUAAAAGUGUAAAAAUUUGUUUCAUAUUCAGUACAACGCGUCGAGACUUGUCGUCGACGCGCCGCUGCCGGCAACCGUCCCGUCCGCAAUACUUGUUCAAACGUGUAGAGGUGCAGAAAACAUCGAUGGAAACAUCGAUACCUCGAUGUUUUGGAAAAAUGAAAAACAUCGAUGUAUUUUAAAAAACAUCGAGAAGCUCAGCAAGUUCUGCACCUCUACAAACGUGCAAAUGAAUUUGUUUAUAAAUACGAAUGUCAAGGAGAAACGUUUCUCAUUUCCGAAAUGUCAUAAGGAAAUCUGAAUCGAUAUUAGUGCCAUAAUUUGUUUCCACACUUUCUAAAAGUAAAGUGAAUCGAUAUUACCUAGUGAUUACCAGUAUCGCAAAAAUUGGUAAUUGAUACGAAACAUGACCGAAUCUAAGAAGAAGUGUCGUCAGUAUAGUGUUGAAUAUUUAAAAUUUGGUUUUCUUCCAUCACAGGCAGACAAACGGUUGCCCACAUGCAUUUUAUGCAACAAAGUUUUGGGCAAUGACUCCAUGAAACCAUCAAAGCUGGAAGAGCACCUAAGAAGGUGUCAUUCAGAUAAAAAAGAUAAAGAUUUAAAAUAUUUCCAAACAUUAAAAGAAAAAUAUGAAAAAAGACCCACCGUGCACAGUAUGUUUGCUUCAACGUCUGAAAGCAAUGAUGAUGGCUUGCGGGCAUCUUACAAUAUCUCAUUACUCAUAGCAAAAUCUGGAAAACCGCACACCAUUGGAGAACAGUUAAUUUUACCUGCUGUUGAAGAGGUCUUAAAAACUGUUCUGCACAAAUCUUCAUUAGACAUAUUCAAAAAAAAUUCCGUUGAGUAACAACACUGUACAAAGACGUAUUGAUGAAAUGAGCUCUGAUGUUGAAAGUUUCUUGUGUGAUUAUCUGCAAACAACUCAUUUUUCUAUUCAACUGGACGAGUCAACUUUACCUGGCAACGAAGCAUUAUUAUUGGCAUAUGUUCGAUUUGUUAUGGGCGAAGAAAUCCAUGAAGAGCUACUAUUUGCAAGAACUUUGAAGACGGACACUAAAGAUCGGUGGCAACAGAUGGAGCUCCUGCCAUGGUCGGGCGAUAUCGUGGGUUUAUAAGCCAUCUUAAAAGAAUUAUACCAGAGGUAACUACAAUUCAUUGUGUUAUCCACCGACAACAUCUAGUAGCG
Molecule: long non-coding RNA, 1612 nt
Organism: Drosophila ananassae
Lineage: Eukaryota; Metazoa; Arthropoda; Insecta; Diptera; Drosophilidae
Exons: 3
Source: RefSeq, a predicted model, not a curated record